GACGAACGCUGGCGGCGUGCCUAACACAUGCAAGUCGAACGAGAUCCAUGGGAGCUUGCUCCCGGAAGAUCUAGUGGCGAACGGGUGAGUAACACGUGAGAAACCUGCCCUGGAGUGGGGAAUAACUCGGGGAAACUCGAGCUAAUACCGCAUACCCUCGGAUGGUCGCAUGGCCGACCGAGGAAAGAUUUAUCGCUCUAGGAGGGUCUCGCGGCCUAUCAGCUAGUUGGUGGGUAACGGCCUACCAAGGCAACGACGGGUAGCUGGUUUGAGAGAACGAUCAGCCACACUGGGACUGAGACACGGCCCAGACUCCUACGGGAGGCAGCAGUGGGGAAUCUUGCGCAAUGGGCGAAAGCCUGACGCAGCAACGCCGCGUGCGGGAUGAAGGCCUUCGGUU
This 400-nucleotide ribosomal RNA is filed under the name uncultured bacterium. Its description in RNAcentral is "bacterial SSU rRNA". It matches the Rfam family "Bacterial small subunit ribosomal RNA", at positions 28 to 423 of the family's 1533-position model. The record is from RNAcentral.